AUGCGCCGCCUCUCGCCGCCGCGGGCGGUGGCGGUGGCGGAGUCCAUCGACGCCCUCCGCUUCUCCACCUCUGCCGCAGCGGCGGCCGUUCCAUCCCCUCCUGACCUGGACCCCCCUCGCCUCGACCCCUCCGACGUCCGAUCCCACAAUGCCGCCCUCAUCGCAUAUUCUUCCAGGGGCAGUGAGGCGCCGCGCCUCGCGCACCUCCUGGCCUCCUUCGGCGCCAUGGUAAAGUCCGGUGCGCCUCCCGAUCGCUGUACCUACAACACGCUCAUCAGCGCGCACUGCAAGCUCGCUCUCCUCGCCGACGCCAGGGCCGCUCUGGCUCGGAUGCACGAGGCGGGGUUCGCGCCGGACACCUUCACCUACAACUGCCUCAUGCUCGGCCUCUGCAGGGCCGGCCUCCUCACAGCUGCGUGCGGUUUGUUCGUGCAGAUGCCACGCCGUUGGGGUGCCUACUACGACAGACACUCCUACACUAUCCUGAUCCAGGGCCUGUGUGCCGUGGGGCGCAUUGACGAUGCCUGUAGGGUGUUUACUAAAAUGUCGAGGGGCUGGUGCAAACCCGGCGUGCACACAUACACUGUGCUGCUCGAUGGGCUCUGCAAGGCUAGGCGUGUCGGGGACGCGGAGGCUUUGUUGGGUGAGAUGGUCGAUAAGGGUGUGGUGCCAAACGUCGUGACUUAUAAUGCCUUGAUUGGCGGACUUUGUCAGGAGGGGAGGUUCGAUGAUGUGACCAAGUUGUUGGAGAAAAUGGAGAUGCAGCAGCGUGCUCCAGAUUGCUGGACAUAUACCAUAGUUGUCCAUGGUCUGUGGAAGCAUGGAAAAGUGGAGCAUCGUGCCAAGGUGUUGUGUGAAGCCUUAGUGAAGGGCGUUGCUCUUGGAGUUGCCACUUACAAUGUGUUGAUUGAUGGGUAUUGUAAGGUUGGUGAUAUGAAGGCUGCUCUUGAUGUUUUGCAGUUGAUGAAGAAGAAUGGGGUCAACCCAAAUGUCCAAAUUUUUAAUGUGGUGAUCCAUGGAUUCUGUUGCGGUGGUAAAGUGCAUCAAGCGAUGGCCUUCUUGACACAAAUGGUUGGGGCUGGGUUGUCGCCGGAUACUGUUACAUUCAACUCGCUGAUAUCUGGUCAGUGUAGCGUGGGUGAAAUGAAUAUUGCUUUCCGGUUGCUUGAUUUGAUGGAGGAUUAUGGCGUUCUUCCAGAUCGACAAACUUAUGCCAUCUUUAUAGAUGCUCAUUGUGAGCAAGGUCGACUGGAGGAGGCUCAUUCUCUCUUUUCUUGUCUUCCUCAGAAAGGUAUUAAGGCACACAGCGUCAUAUAUAAUUCACUGAUUCAUGGAUAUUGCCAAGUAGGUGAUAUUGAUUCUGCUUUUGGGCUGAUGGAGAAGAUGGCUUCAGAGGACUGUAUAUCUGAUGUUCACACCUACAACGCCCUUAUUGAUGGUCUGUGCAAAGUGAAAAGAUUGGAUAGGGCUAUAGAUUUACUAGACAAGAUGAAGAAGCAGGGGAUAGAACCAACAACUUGUACAUUUAGCAUUCUGAUCAAGCAAAUGCUUUGGGACAAGAAGCAUGCAGAUGCUGCCAAGAUGUAUGAGCAAAUGAUAUCUUCUGGUUGCAAACCUGACAAACAGACAUAUACACUGAAAAUCAGUACAGACUGGUUUGAGGGUGCAAGGAAGGAAGAAAAUAUAGACGUGGCUAUUGUUGAAAUGCAUGAAGCAGGUGUUUCUCCAGAUGUGGAAACAUAUAACGCUAUCAUAAAGGCGUAUAGUGAUGCUGGCCUGAUGGAGAAAGCCUUCUUUGCACAUGUGAAGAUGCUUUCUGUCCCUAUUGAUCCAAAUUGUACAACAUAUUCGAUAUUGCUUAAUCAUAUGUGUAACAAGGAUGAUAGUGAUGCAUUUGAUAAUGAAAAAGUAUGGAAGAUGGUAGAUGUGAGAAAUCUGCAGGAGCUUUUUGAACAGAUGUGUAAAUCUGAUGCUGCUCCUGGCAUUAGCACAUACAAGGCACUGCUGAGGGGAUUGUGUAAUCAGUGUCGACUGGAGGAGGUGGAAUGGCUGUUGCUAAAAAUGCAGGGAAACAGCGUUCUGUUGGAUGAAGACAUGUCUGAUUAUCUACUUGGUUGCUAUUGUAACUUAAAGAUGUACAGGGAAGCAUGCGAGCAAUUUAGAUCGAUGGCCCAUCAGAGCUUUCAGCCAGGGCUAAAGUCAUGCUGCCUUCUCCUUUCUGGCCUUUGUGAUAGUGGAGAUCAUGGGAUGGCUGUAUCAAUUUUCAGUGAUAUACUUGGCUUAGGGUACAACUAUGAUGAGGUUGUCUGGAAACUUUUAAUUGAUUGCCUACAUGAGAAGGGGCAUACUGGGGCAUGUUUAGGGAUGCUUUCAGUGAUGGAUGAUAAAAAGUGUGUUGCUAGCACUAGGACAUAUGCAUCUUUAGUUCAUUUGUUGCUGGAAACUGAAUGA
RNAcentral lists this ribosomal RNA (2451 nucleotides) under Triticum aestivum (bread wheat). Its description in RNAcentral is "partial small subunit ribosomal RNA". The record is from RNAcentral. Lineage: Eukaryota; Viridiplantae; Streptophyta; Magnoliopsida; Poales; Poaceae.